Molecule: ribosomal RNA, 571 nt
Filed under: Diloma zelandicum
Lineage: Eukaryota; Metazoa; Mollusca; Gastropoda; Trochida; Trochidae
Description: partial 16S ribosomal RNA
Rfam family: Bacterial large subunit ribosomal RNA
Source: RNAcentral
GGAGUCGGACCUGCCCGGUGACUAAAAUGUUAAACGGCCGCGGUACCCUAACCGUGCAAAGGUAGCAUAAUCAUUUGCCUUUUAAUUGGAGGCUUGUAUGAAUGGUUUGACGAGAGCUAAGCUGUCUCUUUUUUAAUAUUUAGAAAUUAACUUUUAGGUGAAGAGGCCUAAAUUUAUUUGAGGGACGAGAAGACCCUGUUGAGCUUUAAUGUUAUAAUAAAAUGUUGAUUGAUAGGUGAUUUAUAGUUGCCUUUAUUUAUAUUGAAUAUUAUUUAUUAAACUAAAAUAUUGUUUUAUUAUUAAUUUUUAGUUGGGGCGACUGAGGAACAGAUAAAGCUUCCUUUAGAGUUUAGCAUAAAGAAUGGUAAUUUAGUAGUGUUGAUAGAUUUAAAGGAUCCAAUAUUUAUUGAUUAAAGGAAGAAGUUACCACAGGGAUAACAGCGUAAUCUUUCUGGAGAGAUCUUAUCGAAAGGAGGGUUUGCGACCUCGAUGUUGGACUAAGAUAUCCUAAGGGUGUAGAAGCUCUUGACGGUUGGUCUGUUCGACCAUUAAAAUCUUACGUGAUCUGAGU